UGGGGAAUAUUGCACAAUGGGGGAAACCCUGAUGCAGCAACGCCGCGUGAGUGAAGAAGUAUUUCGGUAUGUAAAGCUCUAUCAGCAGGGAAGAAAGUGACGGUACCUGACUAAGAAGCCCCGGCUAACUACGUGCCAGCAGCCGCGGUAAUACGUAGGGGGCAAGCGUUAUCCGGAUUUACUGGGUGUAAAGGGAGCGUAGACGGCACAGCAAGUCUGAAGUGAAAUCCCCGGGCUCAACCCGGGAACUGCUUUGGAAACUGUUGGGCUAGAGUGCUGGAGAGGCAAGCGGAAUUCCUAGUGUAGCGGUGAAAAUGCGUAGAUAUCACGAAGAACUCCGAUUGCGAAAGGCAGCCUGCUAAAGCUGCAACUGACAUUGAGGCUCGAAAAGUGUGGGUAUCAAAACAGGAUUAGAUACCC
This 420-nucleotide ribosomal RNA is filed under the name uncultured bacterium. RNAcentral describes it as "bacterial SSU rRNA". It matches the Rfam family "Bacterial small subunit ribosomal RNA", at positions 355 to 787 of the family's 1533-position model. The record is from RNAcentral.